UACAGAGGGUGCGAGCGUUGUUCGGAAUUAUUGGGCGUAAAGGGCGCGUAGGCGGUGCGGUAAGUCACCUGUGAAAUCUCCUGGCUCAACUGGGAGCUUGCAGGCGAAACUGCCGUGCUGGAGUGUGGGAGAGGUGCGUGGAAUUCCUGGUGUAGCGGUGAAAUGCGUAGAUAUCAGGAGGAACACCGGUGGCGAAGGCGGGUCUCUGGGCCGAUACUGACGCUGAGGCGCGAAAGCGUGGGUAGCAAACAGG
This 253-nucleotide ribosomal RNA is filed under the name uncultured bacterium. RNAcentral's name for it is "partial 16S ribosomal RNA". It matches the Rfam family "Bacterial small subunit ribosomal RNA", at positions 524 to 776 of the family's 1533-position model. The record is from RNAcentral.